This 164-nucleotide ribosomal RNA is filed under the name Rehmannia glutinosa. Its description in RNAcentral is "5.8S ribosomal RNA". It matches the Rfam family "5.8S ribosomal RNA". From Rfam's summary of the family: 5.8S ribosomal RNA (5.8S rRNA) is a component of the large subunit of the eukaryotic ribosome. The record is from RNAcentral. Lineage: Eukaryota; Viridiplantae; Streptophyta; Magnoliopsida; Lamiales; Orobanchaceae.
GUCAAAACGACUCUCGGCAACGGAUAUCUCGGCUCUCGCAUCGAUGAAGAAUGUAGCGAAAUGCGAUACUUGGUGUGAAUUGCAGAAUCCCGUGAACCAUCGAGUCUUUGAAUGAAAGUUGCGCCUGAAGCCUUUAGGCCGAGGGCACGUCUGCCUGGGUGUCA